CCGCCCGUCACACCAUGGAAGUGUAUUGCACCAGAAGCAGGUAGCCUGGCCGCAAGGAGGGCGCCUACCACGGUGUGGUCCAUGACUGGGGGUG
This 94-nucleotide ribosomal RNA is filed under the name uncultured bacterium. RNAcentral's name for it is "partial 16S ribosomal RNA". The record is from RNAcentral.